This 494-nucleotide ribosomal RNA is filed under the name uncultured bacterium. RNAcentral's name for it is "partial 16S ribosomal RNA". It matches the Rfam family "Bacterial small subunit ribosomal RNA", at positions 28 to 507 of the family's 1533-position model. The record is from RNAcentral.
GACGAACGCUGGCGGCGUGCUUAACACAUGCCAGUCGAACGGUGAAGCGCCUUCCUUUUUGGUGGGUGUGGAUGAGUGGCGAACGGGUGAGUAACACGUGAGUAACCUGCCCCCUUCUUCUGGAUAACCGCAUGAAAGUGUGGCUAAUACGGGAUAUUCUGGGUCUGUCGCAUGAUGGGUCUGGGAAAGAUAUUGUUUCGGUGGGGGAUGGGCUCGCGGCCUAUCAGCUUGUUGGUGGGGUGAUGGCCUACCAAGGCGGUGACGGGUAGCCGGCCUGAGAGGGUGGACGGUCACACUGGGACUGAGACACGGCCCAGACUCCUACGGGAGGCAGCAGUGGGGAAUAGUGCACGAUGGGCGCAAGCCUGAUGCAGCGACGCCGCGUGAGGGAUGGAGGCCUUCGGGUUGUGAACCUCUUUCGCCAGUGAAGCAGGCCUGCCUCGUUUGUGGGUGGGUUGACGGUAGCUGGAUAAGAAGCGCCGGCUAACUACGUG